GUGCGUCCUGGCCGUUUGAGGCUCUGGCCGAUUUUUUUUCCCAAGUCCCCAUGGAGAGUCAGGGACCGUCCUGUGCCAUCUUCCGAGAGCCUGGAAGGGUCCGCCCGUGGGCUUUCCGAGCGCCGAAGGGGCCACAUGCUGCUCUGAGGGUGCCGCAGAGAUGCUGUCUCACCAUGUUGGCCCCGGAUAGUCUUGGACUCCUGGGUUCCAGGUAUCCUCCGUGGCCUCCAAAAGUGCUGGGAUUACAGGUCCUGCCUACAGAAGAUCUUGUGACAUAUCCCUGCACCCAUCACACAGGAUAUUGUGACAUUGCUGAGCCCAGCAUCUAGGUGAUGUGACUCUUCUCUACUGUUUGGUCUCUACCCAAAAAGGGAUUGUGACAUAUCACUCUGUCAAGAACCUAGAUGAGGUGACUCCUCUCCAGCCUGGGACCUCCAUACAGAGGGGAUUGUAGCAUAUUCCUAAUGGAGCACCAAGGUGAUGUGACACUGCUGCCUGGUCCCUGCCCUCAGAGAAGAUUGUGACAUAUCACUGCCCCGAAACCCAGGUGUGAUUGUUACAUACACCUCUGCCCAGCACCUGAGUGAUUUGACUCUUCUGCUUGGGCCCAGCGUACAGAUGGGAUUGUGCCGCAUUGCUGGACCCAGCACUUAGGUGAUGUGAUAUAAUUCUCCUCUUAUGCCUGGCCCUGCCAAAAAGUGGGAGAUUAUGGCAAAUCACUGAACCCAGCACCUAGGGACCUUGUGACAUAUAUCUGCACCCAUGAUCUAGAAGAUGUGACAUUUAUUUUUUGCCUGCACCCUGCCCUGCACAGGAAUGAUUGUGACAUAUCCUUGGAACCAGACACCAGAAUUGUAACAUAUCCCUGGCUGAGCACUCAGGUGAUGUGACACUCCUGCUUGGCUUCUUCCCUCAGAGAAGAUUAUGAGAUAUCCAUGGCUGAAAUCCAGGGGGAAUUGUGACAUAUCACUUGGCCCAGUACCAAGCAGGUGUGACUCUUCUAUUCAUCAUAAGUCCUGCUUUCAAGGGAGAUUGGGACAUAUUGUGGGGCUCAACACCAAUGUGACAUUACUGUUUUGCCUUGGCCCAGACCUUAAAGGCACUGUGACGUAUUGCUCGGCUCAGCAACAAGGUGACGAGAGAUCCUGUGUGGACAUUGACAACAGAGAGCAUUGUGACAUAUCUUUGGGAGCAUCAGCUAUUUGAUGUGACUCUCCUUUUAUACCAAGGCUUUGCUCAUAGGGGAGAUCGUGAUGUAUCUUCUGGCCCAGAAAUCAGGCAAUGUGUUUCUCCUGCCUGAGCUUUGCUCACAGGGAGCAUUGUGACGUAUCACUGAGCCCAGCACCCAGGUGAUGGGACUCUACUGCCUGUCCCCUGCUUUCAGGAGGAAAUUGUAACAUAUCUCUGACCAAGCACCCAGGUGAUAAGUCUUCUGCCUGGUGCCUGUUCUCAGGGAAGAUUGUGACAUAUCCCUGGCCCAGCACCCAGAUGAUGCAGAUGACGUAUCUCUCCUGCUCACUCUCUAUCCACAGGUUCUGCCCACAAAGGAGAUUGUGGCAUACUGCUGGGCCUAACACUAAGGUGAUGUUACUUCUCUGCUUUGGCUAUGUCCUUAGAAGGCAUUGAGACACACUGCUGGGCCCAGGACCAAGAUGAUGUGAGUCCUCUGCCUGAACCCUGAUCACAGGGAGCAUUGUGACAUAUUUCUUGACCCACUGCAAUCUCUCCUAUGGACAAAGCCCAGGUUGGAUUGUGACAUAUACUUUAGCCCAGCUCACAGUUGUGAUAAUGACACUCAUACCACAAAUCAGUCAGUAGGAGAGAUACUGGCACUUGUAGCUAAACUUAGAGAAACAGGUUAUGUAACUCUCCUUGCUGGGUCCUGCCUACAGGAAGCUUUAUGAUCUAUCUGUGUAUUCAUCAUCCAGGUGUUAUGACUCUCGUCUUUUCACUGGAACCUGCCAAGAAGGGUGAUUGUGACAUAUCACUGGACCCAGCACCUUGGUGAUGUGACUCUCCUCUCCUCCUUGGGCCCUGCUUACAUUGUGUCUGUUGAAAUACGGCUGGUCCAACACCUAGGUAAUGUGACUCUCCUGCAUAGGCCUUGCUAAUAGGGGAUGUAUGACAUAUGUUUUGUUUAUCACUUAAGUGAUGUUACUCUCCUUUUCUUCCUGAAUCCUGUAAAAGGUGGGGGAUUGUGACCCUAUCACUGGACCCAGCACAUAAGUAAUAUGAGUUUCCUGCAUAGGCUCUGUUCAGAAGGGUAUUAUGACAUAUCUUUUUGUUCAUCACUUUGUGACUUGUCUUUUGACUGGAACCUGCCAAAAAGGGUGAUUGUGACAUAUUACUGGACCCAGCACCUAGGUGAUGUGGCUCUCCUUUUUUUCUGGGCCUCACAUAUUUUGGGUAUUGUGAUGUAUAGCUGGGCUCAACACCUAGCAGUUGGGGAGCUCCUUUCUUGACCAUUCCCACAAAUGACAUAUCUCUGCUAUGACCGCCUAUGACACAUGGCCUAAAUAUGUGACCCUUCUUUUCUGCCUGUACCCUGCUAACAGAGAAGAUUGUGACAAAUUGCUAAGUGCAUUGUAUCUUGUGCUGACCUUCUAUCUCAGCCUGUGACCAAGAAUGCCUAACUGCCGGGGAAUGCAGCCCUGUAGGUCUCAACCUCAAUUUACCCAGCCACUAUUCAAAAUAGAGUCACUCUGGUUUAAAUGCCUCUGACAUUAAGAUACACUGUAAAAUUAUGAAAAAAGUUUAUUUGAAUUUUAGCAAAUGAGAAAUGAAAUAAUUAGAAUGGGCUAUUCUGAAAGAUAUAGCAUUAGUUAUAUUUGUGUUUGAGUUUUCUAUUAACCUAUAUUUGUUACUUAUGAACAGAUACCUUGUUUUAUUCUGUCUAAACAGAUACACUAGGUGGGGUGUGGCGGCCAUGCCUGUAAUCCCAGCACUUUGGGAGGCCGAGGGGAGUGGAUCACCUGAGGUCAGGAAUUUGAGACAAGCCUGACCAACAUGGCAAAACCCUGUCUCUACU
This 3028-nucleotide long non-coding RNA is filed under the name Pan troglodytes (chimpanzee). RNAcentral's name for it is "lincRNA". Lineage: Eukaryota; Metazoa; Chordata; Mammalia; Primates; Hominidae. The record is from RNAcentral.